RNAcentral lists this unclassified non-coding RNA (338 nucleotides) under Hevea brasiliensis (rubber tree). Lineage: Eukaryota; Viridiplantae; Streptophyta; Magnoliopsida; Malpighiales; Euphorbiaceae. The record is from RNAcentral.
GUAUCAGGUGUGUCUGUAUGCUCAGUUAUUGGAUUUUCUGUUCAAUGAUUGGCUUGUUUUAAUCGGGUGUUUUCUGAGUUUUGUUUGAUAUCUAGUCGCUAAAAGUUGUGUUCUUUAUGUAUUUUGAGAUAUAUGGCAACUCAAGUGGAAUAUUUUGUCAAAAUUGAACUUUCCUCACUUGAUUGCGAAAUCCCAUCAUCUCUUAUUCAGUGGUUUUGACUGAAUGUAAGCAUAGUAAAAUGUUUAGUUUUGGGAUUCUGCAUUUGAGUUCAGUUUUUUACACUCAAUAGACUAAAAUGGUUUAAAUAUAAAAAUAGCUUUUGCCUCCUCAUUGAUUU